GAACUACUCCCUCCGUCCCAAAAUUCUUGUCUUAACUUUGUCUAGAAAUGGAUAUAUCAAAAUACUAAAACUUGACUAGAUGCAUUUACAUCUAAACAAAUCUAAGACAAGAAUNNNGGGACGGAGGGAGUAUAUA
Non-coding RNA from Hordeum vulgare subsp. vulgare (domesticated barley), 136 nucleotides. The record is from Rfam. Lineage: Eukaryota; Viridiplantae; Streptophyta; Magnoliopsida; Poales; Poaceae.